AAUGAAUCUGGGUUAGAGAGAGAGUGAAGGACCUUGUAAUUAGAGAAAGAUAGAAUAACUUAGAAUUAUUUUAUUAAUUGGAAUAAUGUUUUUAUUUUAUUAUUUAAAUAAAAUAAAAAGAUAAAAAGAAAAUAGAAGUGGUAGAGAUAUUGAGAGCAAGGUGGGGAUUUGAGAGAAAAGUAAGGAUAAAAUAUGAAUAGUCU
This 203-nucleotide long non-coding RNA is filed under the name Lathyrus oleraceus (garden pea). RNAcentral describes it as "Pisum sativum (pea) long non-coding RNA (PSAT_LNC002690)". The record is from RNAcentral. Lineage: Eukaryota; Viridiplantae; Streptophyta; Magnoliopsida; Fabales; Fabaceae.